CCUACGGGAGACAGCAGUGAGGAAUAUUGGUCAAUGGGCGGGAGCCUGAACCCGCCCAGUCGCGUGAAGGAAGAAGGUACUUAGUAUUGUAAACUUCUUUUGUCGGGGAACAAAGGCGGAGACGCGUCUCCGGAUGAGUGUACCCGACGAACAAGCAUCGGCUAACUCCGUGCCAGCAGCCGCGGUAAUACGUAGGUGGCAAGCGUUGUCCGGAUUUACUGGGUGUAAAGGGCGUGUAGCCGGGAAGGCAAGUCAGAUGUGAAAUCUGGAGGCUCAACCUCCAAAUUGCAUUUGAAACUGUUUUUCUUGAGUACUGGAGAGGCAGACGGAAUUCCUUGUGUAGCGGUGAAAGGCGUAGAUAUAAGGAGGAACACCAGUGGCGAAGGCGGUCUGCUGGACAGCAACUGACGGUGAGGCGCGAAAGCGUGGGGAGCAAACAGGAUUAGAUACCCUUGUAGUC
RNAcentral lists this ribosomal RNA (460 nucleotides) under uncultured bacterium. RNAcentral describes it as "partial 16S ribosomal RNA". It matches the Rfam family "Bacterial small subunit ribosomal RNA", at positions 338 to 795 of the family's 1533-position model. The record is from RNAcentral.